RNAcentral lists this ribosomal RNA (372 nucleotides) under uncultured organism. RNAcentral's name for it is "bacterial SSU rRNA". It matches the Rfam family "Bacterial small subunit ribosomal RNA", at positions 526 to 896 of the family's 1533-position model. The record is from RNAcentral.
CAGAGGGGGCAAGCGUUAUUCGGAAUUAUUGGGCGUAAAGGGCGCGUAGGCGGCUAUUCAAGUGGCGGGUGAAAUCCCUCGGCUUAACCGAGGAACUGCCUGCCAGACUGGAUGGCUUGAGACCGGGAGAGGUGAGUGGAAUUCCCAGUGUAGCGGUGAAAUGCGUAGAUAUUGGGAGGAACACCAGUGGCGAAGGCGGCUCACUGGACCGGUACUGACGCUGAGGCGCGAAAGCGUGGGGAGCAAACAGGAUUAGAUACCCUGGUAGUCCACGCCGUAAACGAUGAGUGCUUGGUGUAGCGGGUAUCGACCCCUGCUGUGCCGACGUCAACACAUUAAGCACUCCGCCUGGGGAGUACGGUCGCAAGACUG